GCCUGAGUGGCUCAGUUGGUUGAGCACCCGACUUCUGCUCAGGUCAUGAUCUCACCGUUCGUGGGUUUGAGCCUGCAUCAGGCU
Molecule: transfer RNA, 84 nt
Filed under: Felis catus (domestic cat)
Lineage: Eukaryota; Metazoa; Chordata; Mammalia; Carnivora; Felidae
Rfam family: tRNA
About the family: Transfer RNA (tRNA) molecules are approximately 80 nucleotides in length.
Source: Rfam by way of RNAcentral